RNAcentral lists this ribosomal RNA (466 nucleotides) under Streptococcus mitis. RNAcentral describes it as "bacterial SSU rRNA". It matches the Rfam family "Bacterial small subunit ribosomal RNA", at positions 28 to 476 of the family's 1533-position model. Lineage: Bacteria; Bacillati; Bacillota; Bacilli; Lactobacillales; Streptococcaceae. The record is from RNAcentral.
GACGAACGCGGCGGCGUGCCUAAUACAUGCAAGUAGAACGCUGAAGGAAGGAGCUUGCUCUUUCCGGAUGAGUUGCGAACGGGUGAGUAACGCGUAGGUAACCUGCCUGGUAGCGGGGGAUAACUAUUGGAAACGAUAGCUAAUACCGCAUAAUAGCAGUUAUUGCAUGAUAACUGUUUGAAAGGUGCAAAUGCAUCACUACCAGAUGGACCUGCGUUGUAUUAGCUAGUUGGUGGGGUAACGGCUCACCAAGGCGACGAUACAUAGCCGACCUGAGAGGGUGAUCGGCCACACUGGGACUGAGACACGGCCCAGACUCCUACGGGAGGCAGCAGUAGGGAAUCUUCGGCAAUGGACGGAAGUCUGACCGAGCAACGCCGCGUGAGUGAAGAAGGUUUUCGGAUCGUAAAGCUCUGUUGUAAGAGAAGAACGAGUGUGAGAGUGGAAAGUUCACAACUGUGACGGU